CCUACGGGUGGCUGCAGUGGGGAAUAUUGGACAAUGGGCGAAAGCCUGAUCCAGCCAUGCCGCGUGUGUGAAGAAGGCCUUCGGGUUGUAAAGCACUUUCAGUGGGGAAGAAAGCCUUGGGGCUAAUACCCUCGAGGAAGGACAUCACCCACAGAAGAAGCACCGGCUAACUCCGUGCCAGCAGCCGCGGUAAUACGGAGGGUGCGAGCGUUAAUCGGAAUUACUGGGCGUAAAGCGCGCGUAGGCGGUCUGAUAAGCCGGUUGUGAAAGCCCCGGGCUCAACCUGGGAACGGCAUCCGGAACUGUCAGGCUAGAGUGCAGGAGAGGAAGGUAGAAUUCCCGGUGUAGCGGUGAAAUGCGUAGAGAUCGGGAGGAAUACCAGUGGCGAAGGCGGCCUUCUGGACUGACACUGACGCUGAGGUGCGAAAGCGUGGGUAGCAAACAGGAUUAGAUACCCGAGUAGUC
This 465-nucleotide ribosomal RNA is filed under the name Vreelandella stevensii. RNAcentral's name for it is "partial 16S ribosomal RNA". It matches the Rfam family "Bacterial small subunit ribosomal RNA", at positions 338 to 795 of the family's 1533-position model. The record is from RNAcentral. Lineage: Bacteria; Pseudomonadati; Pseudomonadota; Gammaproteobacteria; Oceanospirillales; Halomonadaceae.